RNAcentral lists this ribosomal RNA (841 nucleotides) under Neoptera sp. NZAC 03010412. RNAcentral's name for it is "eukaryotic LSU rRNA". The stretch from base 451 to 841 matches the Rfam family "Eukaryotic large subunit ribosomal RNA", at positions 1 to 944 of the family's 3401-position model. Lineage: Eukaryota; Metazoa; Arthropoda; Insecta. The record is from RNAcentral.
UACGUGAAACCGUUCAGGGGUAAACGGGAGAGAUCCGGAUGUACGAAAGGGGGAGACUCAAUCCUGUCCGUACGUUGUUGGCCCUCCCGGCACCAGGAUGUAGCCGGCCGCCGGUCGAACCGCAAGGUUCGCUCCGGGUCGGAGUCGGGUGCACCGGUGUCGGGGGUCGCGUCCGACCGCGGCGGGGUGCACUUCUCCCCCGAGUAGGACGUCGCGACCCGUUGGGUUCGUCGGUCUAAGGCCCGGGAUAAAGCCCGCGGGGGUCUCCGUGCUUUGCGCGGGUUCAAGGCCCCCCGGACCCCGGUCGUCCCGGCCGGCGCCCGACGGUAGGUAACGCGGAGAAGGCCCGCUAUGUGAGCGUCCGGCCCGGUCGGCAAGCCGUUCGGUGUGUUUCGAGGGUAUGCGUGGCUUACGUCACGGCCUCGGGCCCCGUUGGCUGCUGGCCGCCGGUGUUCUCGGACCGUAAGCCAUCUCCCGUCCGCGACGCUUUCGAAUCGGAUGCUUUCCCGACCCGUCUUGAAACACGGACCAAGGAGUCUAACAUGUGCGCGAGUCACUGGGAUCAUGUCUAAACCCAGAGGCGCAGUAAAAGCGUGGCGUGCCCCCUCGUGGGGCCGCCGUGGGGAGGAUGGCGAGGCUUACCGCCCUAGCCCGCACUCCCGGGGCGCCUCGGCUCCGGCCGCAGGCGCACCCAGAGCGCACACGUUGGGACCCGAAAGAUGGUGAACUAUGCCUGGCCAGGACGAAGUCAGGGGAAACCCUGAUGGAGGUCCGCAGCGAUUCUGACGUGCAAAUCGAUCGUCAGAGCUUGGUAUAGGGGCGAAAGACUAAUCGAACCAUC